RNAcentral lists this ribosomal RNA (253 nucleotides) under uncultured bacterium. RNAcentral describes it as "partial 16S ribosomal RNA". It matches the Rfam family "Bacterial small subunit ribosomal RNA", at positions 524 to 776 of the family's 1533-position model. The record is from RNAcentral.
UACGUAGGGGCCGAGCGUUGUCCGGAGUUAUUGGGCGUAAAGCGCGCGCAGGCGGCCUCGCGCGCCCGACGUGAAAGCCCCCGGCUUAACCGGGGAGAGUCGUUGGGGACGGCGGGGCUUGAGGGCGGGAGAGGUCGGUGGAAUUCCCGGUGUAGUGGUGAAAUGCGUAGAGAUCGGGAGGAACACCUGUGGCGAAGGCGGCCGACUGGGCCGACCCUGACGCUGAGGCGCGAAGGCGUGGGGAGCGAACGGG